AAUGACGAUGAAAGAAAAUCAUUCAGAUUUCUGGCUGCACAUUGUCAAUUAAACUCAUAGUUUAUUUUUACUCUCUUCAAAACCUUGUUAGAAAAAGGAAGAAUGUUGUAAGCCCACAAGGACAGGAAGAGUAGCAACAACAUUUGGAAGCUAGAACGCUGAAGAAAGUUUGUUGCUUACUUCACAGAUUAGAGACAGCUGAAAUCUAAGCAGGUUUCUUUGCAUCAGCCUCCUCAGGAGGCAACCCAGGGGGAUGAUGCAAAGGAAAGAAGUUCAGUAAUUUUAGGUGCCAGGUAACUGAAAGUGGGGUGAAGGUAGGACUAAAUAUAGACUGUUUGACAUAUAGAAUAAAAGGCAACUAGAAUCCUAGAUCACUCUCCCAUCCCGUUUCCACCUGAGAAGAUGACUAGAGGCCAGAUUCCCUGGAGAGACGAAACUAGGAAGAAUUGGGUACCAGGGAUGCCAGCUACAGCUGAGGUGGGUAUGAGACUGUACUGAAGACACUCUACAUACUGGGUGGCUCCCUUUUCUGUAAGCUCCUAGAAUAUUGGCCACUAGACUUAAACUCUCCAGGCAGGAGAUUGAAUGACUCUUCUCUGAAUAAAUUGAUUAGCCAAAGAGAAAAGCUAUAACAUAGAGUUAGAAGUCAGUCCCACAGUCAAACUGCAUAUCCAGAUCAACCCACCGUGAAAUUCAGUCAACAAGCUCCACUCGUAAUCACACAAUCAAUCCAAUCACACUUUUCAGUGUUUCCCUAAAAUAUAAGCAAGGGAUCAAGGACAAUAAAACAUUUGAGAAAAGCCUCUAAACAAGGUUUUACUAAUCUCAACGCUACUAAUAUUUGGGGCUGGAUAAUCCUUGUUGUGCCGGGCACAGUGGCUCAUGCCUGUAAUCCCAGCAUUCUGGGAGGCCAAGACAGGAAGAUCACUUGAACAUAGGAGUUUGAGACCAGCCUGGACAACAUGGACAAACCCCAUCUCUACAAAAAAUAAAAAAAAUUAGCCAACGAUGUUGGUGUACGCUUGUAGUCCCAGGUACUUGGGAGGCUGAGACAGAAGUAUAACCUGACCCUGGGAAGGUUGAGGUUGCAGUAAGCCAUGAUCGUGCCACUGGACUCCAGGCUGGGUGACAGAGUGAGACCCUGUCUCAAAAAAAGAAAGAAAGAAAAAAAGAAAAAGCAGGAGGUAAUAGAAAAGAAACAUUCAGGAAUAAAAAAAAUCCUCUCAGAAAUUAAAUAAUGUCAACAGAAAGAAAAAUAAAUAAAAGUGUUGAAAGAUAAUGUUGCAGAAAUUUCCCAGAAAAAUAGAGCCAAAAAGUCAAAGAGAUAGAAAAUUGUAGAGAAAGAAAACAGGAAUUUGAGCAUAAUUUUGGAAGACUUAAGGUCCAGCUAGUAGAUAUCCUUCAAAUAAUAGGAGGGAACAGUGAGAUAGAUAUAGGGGAGGAAAGUUUCAAAUAAGCUGUUUGGUAUGGUUUCCUGUGUCCCUACCUAAAUAUCCUCUUGAGUCGUAAUAAAUAGCACAUGGGAAGGGCAGGGCGAGGUGGAGAUAAUUGAAUCAUGGGGGUGGUUUCUCCCAUACUGUUCUCAUGGUAGCGCAUAAGUCUCAAAAGAUCUGAUGGUUUUAUAAAUGGGAGUUCCCCUGCACAAGUUCUCUUUUGCCUUCCGCUAUGUAAGACGUGCCUUUGCUUCUCCUUUGGCUUUCACCAUGAUUAUGAGGCCUUCCCAGCCAUGCUGAAUGGUGAGUACAUUAAACCUGUUUCCUUUAUAAAUUACCCAGUUGGGUAUGUCUUUGUUUGCAGCACGAGAAUGAACUAAUACACUCUCUUCAAGAAAAACGUCCACAAUGGAAGGAUAUGAAUUUCUAGAUUGAAAGGACUUAUAAGGAAUCAAAUACAUGAAACUCCGAGCAGUUGAGACAAAGCAGCCCUAAAAGCUUCCAGGAGAAAAUAUUGUUCACGUAAAAGGGUCAGAAUUUAGAAUGACAUAAGCCUUCUAGAAGCUGGAAAACAAUGGAGUGAUGCCAUCAAAACCCUGAAUAAAUUUCCACAAACCAAACUAGUAUUCAAGUGUGAAGGUGCAAUAAAGACAUUUUCAGACAUGCAAGAUCUUGUAAAACUUACCUUCCAUGCUCCACUUCUUCAGUGAAGAUACUGGGAAAUAUGCUCCGUCAUAACUAGGAAGUAAACUUUUUUUCUCAUUCAUGUGUUCAGUGGAGGUCAGGUAUGAUUACGGAGGCUCUGAUGGGCUCCCCAAAUCCCAUUAUGAGUCCUUACCAGUCAGCCACUCAGUGGAGAGUGAAGAAACCCCACUUAAGCUUGUUUGAGGAAGAGGAAAAUCUGUUGCUGCAGGCAUCUGAAAAGUCCAGGGGAUAUGAGCAUCAGAAUGCUCAUGUUUGGAACCCUAUGUCCAAGUUGUAAGGAAGCCCAAGCAGCCCACGAAGAGGCCCACGUUAAGAAGAACCAGGGCCCUGACCCACAGUCUAAGUGAACUCUCAGCUAACAGCACCAUUUUGCCAACCAUAAGACACCUGGAAUCUCAUAUCUGCUUCUGCAUUCAAUCUAUUGCACCAAGUUGUUUUGACUGAAGGGUAUGAAGAAAAACUGGCCUCAUCCAAAUAUGUGGUUGGAAAAGGGUGGAGUAUUUUAACAGCCCUUCAAAUAAUUGUUUAAACAUGUCCUUUACAAAACAACAUGAUAAGUUAAAUAAUUCUAAGGAGGAAAUCAACUGGGUAAUUGCCUUCAAUCCUUCCCUUUGGGGAUCCUGCACCACUAGCUGGAGCUCAGAGAGACAGUGAGCAAAGGAUAAAGAUGCCAGUGACUAUUGAAAACAUCAGAAGCUCACACACAGAGUAGGGUCCCAGUGAUCAAGCUUUGUCUCCAGCAUCAGUUUAACCUCUAUUCUUGGAAGGGACACCGGAGGCGACUGAUUCCAACCCCUCUACUUGAAAACUGAAAGAUGCAAAGCACAGGGUAGGGGAUGACAUGCUCAAGGCCCCAUCACCAGUUGGAGGCAGACCUGCAUAGAACUUGGGACAUGAAUGUAGGCACACACAAAACCCAGAGACAUUCCACCAACAUUUAAAAUCAAGAAUCCUCCCUGAUAUAUUUUGACCUUGUAAAUGACGCAAAGGGUUUGAACAAUUCAAAACAAACAAACAAACAAAAAAACAGGUCUAGGAUAAGUUUUUUCAAAAUCAUCAAAUAUAAAUUUCAAUCCAGUUUUUUAAUUUCAUAAAACCAAAGCCAAAAGAGGUUGAGUGAUUAGUUAAAGGUUAUGGGCAAGUGAUGGUAACGUCGAGCCUCUAAUUCAUGCAUUUGCCAAGCUCUAGCUUUGAAUGAUAUUGUAACUUGAAAGGAAUAAUGUUGUUCUUUUUAGAAAAUAACAUGGUCAUGGUAGACCACUUGGAAAAAUAUACAUAAACAUAAGGACAAAGUGACCCAUACGUUAAAGAUAAUCACUGUUAAUAUUUUUAUUAAAUGAAAAGCAUUACAUUUAACUUUACCUAAGCUUAUCAGAAAAAAAGAAUUAAAGAGGGUAGGUAUGGUGGCUCAUGCCUAUAAUCCCAGCACUCUGGGAGGCAAAGGUGAGAGGAUCACUUGAGCCCAGGAGUUUGAGACCAGCCUGAGCAACAUAGGAAGACCCCAUCUCUACAAAACAAACAAACGAAAACGAGGUGGGCAGAGUGGCAUGCACUGGUGGUCCCAACUACUUAGGAGCCUGAGGUGGGAGGAUCAUUUGAGCCUGGGAAGUUGAGGCUGCAGUGAACCAUGAUCAUGCCAGCCUGGGGAAUAGAGUGAGACCUUGUGUAAAAUAAAAUAAAAUAAGAAAUAUAAGAAAUAUGAGAAAUUGCUGACUUUCAGAAAAAGAUUUCUUUAAAACAAGAAAUAUUCAUUUCCUGAAGGAGUCUUCUAUACUUUAAAUACAAAUCUCAAGAAAAAUAAAUUUAUGUUUCUAGGUGUAAAGUCUGUCAUCUGUCUUAAGAAAAUCAGAAGAUGUUAUAAUACUGAUAUCUAAAUAAAAUUUUAAGACUUCUAUUCACUAAUUUAAAAACAACCUGAGCCUACUUAAGAAUAAAAUAAUGGAAAAGGGCAAAUUUAUAAAAUAUUAUAUAAAAGUAACAAAAGCAGUGGUAGAAAAAAAGAGCCACAUAGAGAAGUAACUAUAAUGGUCAUAUAUGCAAUAAACAAAAAAUAAAUUUAGAAGAACAGUCAGUGACUCUCUUAAUUCUUACUCUAAGUUUCUUGACCUGUGGGAGUUUGGAUUUGCUGUUUCAGAAAACACCAUUUUAUUCACUUCAUUAACAGCACAAAUUUUUACUUGUUUCAUUAAAUAAUCACGUCUGUCUCAUUUUUUUCCUCCUAAAAUUCCUAAAUGCGUUUCUACUGUUGUUGAAGAGAGCAGACAUAAGCCAUUAUCUCAUUGGUAACUCCACAAAAUUGUACUUCCAGGUUCCUAAUUCUAUCAUUUGUGUUAUUAUAUUAAAUGUGUUCUUUAAUAAAGUCACUCAUCAUAGAACCCUC
Molecule: long non-coding RNA, 4518 nt
Organism: Symphalangus syndactylus (siamang)
Lineage: Eukaryota; Metazoa; Chordata; Mammalia; Primates; Hylobatidae
Source: RefSeq, a predicted model, not a curated record